RNAcentral lists this ribosomal RNA (371 nucleotides) under uncultured organism. Its description in RNAcentral is "bacterial SSU rRNA". It matches the Rfam family "Bacterial small subunit ribosomal RNA", at positions 526 to 896 of the family's 1533-position model. The record is from RNAcentral.
CGAAGGAUGCAAACGUUGCUCGGAAUCAUUGGGCGUAAAGCGCACGUAGGCGGCGCAGUAAGUCGGACGUGAAAUCCCUCGGCUCAACCGAGGACGUGCAUCCGAAACUACUGUGCUCGAGUAUGGAAGAGGGUCGCGGAAUUCUCGGUGUAGAGGUGAAAUUCGUAGAUAUCGGGAGGAACACCAGUGGCGAAGGCGGCGACCUGGGCCAAUACUGACGCUGAGGUGCGAAAGCGUGGGAGCAAACAGGAUUAGAUACCCUGGUAGUCCACGCCGUAAACGAUGAGUGCUAGGUGCUAUGGGUAUUGACCCCCGUGGUGCCGUAGCUAACGCGUUAAGCACUCCGCCUGGGGAGUACGGCCGCAAGGCUA